Non-coding RNA from Benincasa hispida (wax gourd), 4183 nucleotides. NCBI's taxonomy places the organism in Eukaryota, Viridiplantae, Streptophyta, Magnoliopsida, Cucurbitales, Cucurbitaceae. The record is from RefSeq and is a predicted model, not a curated record.
GUAGAAGAAGAAUUGAGAAGGAAAAGGGAUUAAACCCAACGGGUACACCAAAAAUCCGAACUGAACCGAUUUGGGGUUUUCCCAAUUCGACGAAGAAACCUAGUUCCAGUAAUCUCCCUCUUCACUCAUCGGUCGGGAUUUUCCCUCUCCCCACUUACUGGUUUUCAGUUCUUUCUGCAAUGGUUGAAAUUGACGUGAAGUGAGUUAGAUAUGAAUUCUAGAAGAGUUACAUCUCAGAUUUUAUUGUAGAACUGGCCAGCUUAAUGAGGGAGACGAUAUGAAAUACUUAUUUGUCUGCAGGGUUUCGUGUAAUUAAACCAUGCUUUUGCUACAACGUGUUGCUAGAGUUGAAUCUAAAACAAAAAGUGGGAUUUUUGUUUCCUCAUUUAAGGACAUCUUCAAUGAAGCUCUUGUAUCUGCCUCAACUUGUCCCAAUUUACAUUAUGUCUCCUCUGUUGCUGGAGUUGGUGGUAAUGGCAACAGGGAUAUUCCUAUGUGUUUCCCUUGGAUGUCCACGAAAAUUGCUACAAGCUUGGCAGCAGCAGCAGGUGCAGAUGGGAUGAUCACUAAAGAAGUAACCUUGUCCUUUAAGGAGUGGUUAAAAUCUGGAAGCCACCCUUUGUAUGAUCAAAUCUUCCAAAUCCUCCAAGGGGCUAGAGAUGAUCAAGAAAUGCCAUAUCGUCCUUCCCCUGCUGAUCUUGCUCUUUCUAGGCUUGACCUUCGCCUCAAUGAGUCAUUUGUCUUAGAUGUCCUCCGUUUUGGCUCCAAGGAUGUUCUGUCUUGCCUCAAGUUCUUUGACUGGGCUGGACGCCAGCGGGGGUUCUUCCAUACACGUGCCACAUUCAAUGCCAUGCUUAAGAUUCUCUCCAAGGCCAAGCUCAUGCCCCUCAUGUUUGAUUUCCUUGAAAACUAUGUGCAGCAGAGAAUUUACCAUAAGUCUUGUUUUUACAAUACAUUGGUUAUGGGUUAUGCUGCUGCCGGGAAACCCAUUUUUGCUCUUCAUCUGUUUGGUAAAAUGCGCUUUCAAGGACUUGAUCUUGAUCCUUUUGCCUACCAUGUUCUUUUGAAUUCUCUUGUUGAGGAGAAUUGCUUUGAUGCGGUGCAUGUUAUUUUCAAGCAGAUCACUUUGAGGGGGUUUGUGAAUGAGAUCACACAUUACUUGAUGCUAAAAUUUUUUUGCAAGCAGAGUCAGUUGGAUGAAGCAGAAACCUUCUUGCACGAGUUGGUAGACAGUGGGAAAGGACUGAAUGGGCGUAUGCUGGGUUAUCUUGUUGGUGCACUUUGCCAAAGUGGAAACUUUGAGAGGGCAUGGAAGUUGGUUGAAGGGUUUAGAGACUUAAAAUUAGUUUCAAUGGUGCAUGUGUAUGGUGUGUGGAUAACAGAACUUAUUAAGGCUGGGAAGCUGGAGAGUGCUCAACAGUUCUUAUAUAGCAUAAAGGCAGAUGAAAAUUACAUUCCUGAUGUCUUUCGUUAUAAUAUGUUGAUUCAUAGACUUCUAAGAAAAAACCGACUUCAGGAGGUGUUCGACUUGCUUACGGAGAUGAUGGAGGAACAUAUUCCCCCCAAUAAAGUUACCAUGAAUGCUACCAUGUGUUUCCUCUGCAAAGCUGGGAUGGUGGAAGUUGCACUUGAUUUAUACAACUCCAGAUUAGAAUUUGGGAUUUCCGCUAGUAGUAUGGCAUAUAACUAUUUGAUCAAUACUUUAUGUGGGUAUGGAAGCACUGAUGAAGCAUACCGCAUCUUGAAAAACUCCAUAGAUGAAGGUUAUUUUCCAGGAAAAAGGACGUUUUCUAUACUUGCAAAUGCUUUGUGCCGAGAGGGAAAGCUCGAUAAGAUGAAAGAGUUGGUUAUUUUUGCCUUAGAGAGGAACUUUGUGCCCAGUGAUUCCACAUAUGACAAGUUUAUAUCUGCUCUGUGUAGGGCUAAGAGGGUUGAAGAUGGAUACUUGAUUCAUAGUGAACUUAAUAGAAUAAAUGUAGUAGCCACAAAGAACACCUAUUUUACCUUGAUAGAUGGUUUUAACAAGGCAAUAAGAGGUGAUAUUGCUGCAAGACUACUUAUUGAGAUGCAGGAAAAGGGUCACAAUGCAACUAGGAAGUUAUUUAGAGCAGUUAUUCGUUGUCUUAUUGAAAUGGAAAAUAUGGAAAAGCAAUUUUUUAACUUGCUUGAGCUACAGUUAUCUCGUCAAGAACCCAAUUCUGAGGUGUACAAUAACUUCAUUUAUGGAGCUGCACUUGCAAAAAAGCCUGAGCUUGCUAGAGAAGUAUAUCAGAUGAUGUUGAGAAAUGGAAUCAGACCUAAUUUGACUUCUGACAUUCUUUUGCUAAAGUGCUACUUACGUAGUGAACGCAUUUCUGAUGCUUUGACUUUUUUAAGCAGUUUGUAUCAGACAAGAACUAUUGGGAGGAAAAUUUCCAACGUCAUGAUUGUUGGUCUAUGCAAAGCCAAUAAGGCUGGUCUUGCACUUGAUUUUUUGAGGGACGUGAGGGAUAAGGGUGCAAUACCUAGUAUAGAAUGCUAUGAGGAGUUGGUGUUGCAUUUCUGUCAACACGAAAGAUAUGAUUUGGCGGUAAAUCUUAUAAAAGAUCUAGAUAAAGUUGGGCGUCCAAUUACAUCCUUUCUUGGUAAUAUGCUUCUAUAUAAUUCAUUGAAGACUCAAAAGCUCUAUGAAGCCUGGGUUAACUCAAGAGAGGGACAAGUGGAGACUUAUCAAAGUUCUAUGCUUGGACUGCUAAUUGGGGCAUUUUCUGGCCGUAUUAGAGUAAGCCAGUCUAUUAAGAACCUGGAAAAAACGAUCGCCAAGUGCUUCCCACUUGACAUCUAUACGUACAAUCUAUUAUUGAGGAGGCUAUGCCCAAAUGACCUGGAACAAGCAUUUGAAUUGUUCGAUCGAUUGUGUGAGAAAGGAUAUGUGCCGAAUAGGUGGACUUAUGAUAUAUUGGUUCAUGGUCUUUUCAAGCAAGAGAGGACACUAGAGGCAAAGAGAUUGUUGGAAGUAAUGUAUCAAAAAGGGUUCAGUCCGACGAAGGCUACUAAAACAUUUAGUUAAUCCAACAGCGUUCACACGAGGUCAUGAUCUACAGAAAGUUUGGUCCUAUUGUGCCCCUUCCGCAAAAUAUUAUUUUAUUUCGUUCAAUGAAGCGUGGAAAGGCCUAAAGAUUUUGUCCAGCAGAGCAUCAACGUAUUUCUUGGCUUAGUAUUUCAUGGAACAAGUGGUGUAGAAGAUUGUUUAGUCAAAGAGAUAGUAGUUUCCAAUCCAACAAUUUCUACAGUUCGAAAUAAUUCUUCUUUUUUAUUUUUUUUAGAUUAUAAUGAUUUGUUGUAAUUUUGAAUUAGAGUCCUCAUAUUAAUUUUUGUAAACUAUUUUGCAAGAUGAGUAACAAGUCAGAUGACGUCAACAUAAUGCUUCAUCAAUGCAUUUGAAGGAAUUCACAUUGGAAAAAGUGAAAAAUAGCAUGUAAAAUUCAAGGAUUGCCACUUCAAGGAUUCAAUUCAGUAUGUUUACUCAAAAUGCUAACAAGGAAACAAACUCGAAUACCACUCAGUCUGUCAGUGUUCCCUGGAGGAAUGCCAUCCAUGAAUGCACCUCACAUUUACCCACCCAUGGGUUUAGGAAUAGUGUGGCAGUAUCUCCUGUGGAGAAUUUUGGUUCAGCUGCAGCCUCUACCUCGAAAGAUGCAUCACCAAACAUUAAUUCACCCAUGGUGCCACUGACGCUUCAAUUACUCCAAUUCUUAGACAGAGAUUUCUGGUGAAAGGUUAGAACCCUCUACUGUUAUUUCCUCUUCAGAUCCUGGUUUGGCAACUUUCUCGCAGAACUUUCUAGCAAAAAGACUUCUUCGGCCAUUGACUCUCACCAGAAUAGUAAUGCCAGUGAGGAUUUCUCAUCUUACCAGUAGUGUGGUCUUGUCAUCUCUGAGAUAAAGGCUUCAGGUUCUUCUUUGAUUGCAUAGACUUUGAAGAUCAUUUCAUUUCCUGGAAUACAAAAAGUAUGUGGGAUUCCAACAAGAGAAUUACGUUGAAAACUUUCUCAAGGAUCACACCUAGCUCUUUUGCUAUUUCAUGAGUCUAAAUUACCUAGCUUUGUUUCAAAGGUUCAAAUGAGUAUGAAGUUCUAAAUUUGUCGAUUGGUCAUCUAUAAUCCCCAUUGUUUGCUCAAUUGGAUUAUCAUGGUUUUGGAUUA